GGGAUUAGCUCAGCUGGCUAGAGCGCCUGCCUUGCACGCAGGAGGUCAUCGGUUCGACUCCGAUAUUCUCCACUAAAC
This 78-nucleotide transfer RNA is filed under the name uncultured Bacteroidota bacterium. RNAcentral's name for it is "uncultured Bacteroidetes bacterium tRNA-Ala". It matches the Rfam family "tRNA". From Rfam's summary of the family: Transfer RNA (tRNA) molecules are approximately 80 nucleotides in length. Lineage: Bacteria; Pseudomonadati; Bacteroidota. The record is from RNAcentral.